Molecule: ribosomal RNA, 1449 nt
Filed under: uncultured organism
Description: SSU rRNA
Rfam family: Bacterial small subunit ribosomal RNA
Source: RNAcentral
GAACGCUAGCUACAGGCUUAACACAUGCAAGUCGAGGGGCAGCAUGGUCUUAGCUUGCUAAGGCCGAUGGCGACCGGCGCACGGGUGAGUAACACGUAUCCAACCUGCCGUCUACUCUUGGACAGCCUUCUGAAAGGAAGAUUAAUACAAGAUGGCAUCAUGAGUCCGCAUGUUCACAUGAUUAAAGGUAUUCCGGUAGACGAUGGGGAUGCGUUCCAUUAGAUAGUAGGCGGGGUAACGGCCCACCUAGUCUUCGAUGGAUAGGGGUUCUGAGAGGAAGGUCCCCCACAUUGGAACUGAGACACGGUCCAAACUCCUACGGGAGGCAGCAGUGAGGAAUAUUGGUCAAUGGGCGAGAGCCUGAACCAGCCAAGUAGCGUGAAGGAUGACCGCCCUAUGGGUUGUAAACUUCUUUUAUAAAGGAAUAAAGUCGGGUAUGGAUACCCGUUUGCAUGUACUUUAUGAAUAAGGAUCGGCUGACUCCGUGCCAGCAGCCGCGGUAAUACGGAGGAUCCGAGCAUUAUCCGGAUUUAUUGGGUUUAAAGGGAGCGUAGAUGGAUGUUUAAGUCAGUUGUGAAAGUUUGCGGCUCAACCGUAAAAUUGCAGUUGAUACUGGAUAUCUUGAGUGCAGUUGAGGCAGGCGGAAUUCGUGGUGUAGCGGUGAAAUGCUUAGAUAUCACGAAGAACUCCGAUUGCGAAGGCAGCCUGCUAAGCUGCAACUGACAUUGAGGCUCGAAAGUGUGGGUAUCAAACAGGAUUAGAUACCCUGGUAGUCCACACGGUAAACGAUGAAUACUCGCUGUUUGCGAUAUACUGCAAGCGGCCAAGCGAAAGCGUUAAGUAUUCCACCUGGGGAGUACGCCGGCAACGGUGAAACUCAAAGGAAUUGACGGGGGCCCGCACAAGCGGAGGAACAUGUGGUUUAAUUCGAUGAUACGCGAGGAACCUUACCCGGGCUUAAAUUGCAGAUGAAUUACGGUGAAAGCCGUAAGCCGCAAGGCAUCUGUGAAGGUGCUGCAUGGUUGUCGUCAGCUCGUGCCGUGAGGUGUCGGCUUAAGUGCCAUAACGAGCGCAACCCUUGUUGUCAGUUACUAACAGGUUGCGCUGAGGACUCUGACAAGACUGCCAUCGUAAGAUGUGAGGAAGGUGGGGAUGACGUCAAAUCAGCACGGCCCUUACGUCCGGGGCUACACACGUGUUACAAUGGGGGGUACAGAGGGCCGCUACCACGCGAGUGGAUGCCAAUCCCCAAAACCUCUCUCAGUUCGGACUGGAGUCUGCAACCCGACUCCACGAAGCUGGAUUCGCUAGUAAUCGCGCAUCAGCCACGGCGCGGUGAAUACGUUCCCGGGCCUUGUACACACCGCCCGUCAAGCCAUGGGAGCCGGGGGUACCUGAAGUGCGUAACCGCGAGGAGCGCCCUAGGGUAAAACUGGUGACUGGGGCUAA